Molecule: RNA transcript, 7527 nt
Organism: Bactrocera dorsalis (oriental fruit fly)
Lineage: Eukaryota; Metazoa; Arthropoda; Insecta; Diptera; Tephritidae
Exons: 8
Source: RefSeq, a predicted model, not a curated record
AUCGAUUUUUUAGUACAUAUGCACUAUUUCGUCUUAUUUGAGUAGACAUAGAGCGUAACGACAGUGUAUUUGGAAAAAUUUCACAAUCUUAUCGUAGAAUCGAUUUUUUAGUACAUAUGCACUAAGCAAUCGAUACCAAGUUGCGUAAAAAUAUGAACUAUACAUAUUUAUGCUAAUUAGCCGUUUUGAGGUUAUUGGAGUUUUCAUAUAGCCAUAACGACAGUGAAUUUGGAAAAAUUUCACAAUCUUAUAAUAGGGCGUAGAAUCGAUUUUUUAGUACAUAUGCACUAAGCAAUCGAUACCAAGUUGCGUAAAAAUAUGAACUAUACAUAUUUAUGCUAAUUAACCGUCUUGAGUUUAUUUGAGUUAUCAUAUAGCCAUAACGACAGUGCAUUUGAAAAAAUUUCACAAUCUUAUCGUAGAAUCGAUUUUUUAGUACAUAUGCACUAAGCAAUCGAUACCAAGUUGCGUAAAAAUAUGAACUAUACAUAUUUAUGCUAAUUAGCCGUUUUGAGGUUAUUGGAGUUGUCAUAUAGCCAUAACGACAGUGAAUUUGGAAAAAUUUCACAAUCUUAUAUUGAGGUGCAGAACCGAUUUUUUAGUACAUAUACAUUAAGCACUCGAUUGCAAGUAGCGCAAAAAUAUGAACUAUACAUAUUUAUGCUAAUUAGCCGUUUUGAGGUUAUUGGAGUUGUCAUAUAGCCAUAACGACAGUGAAUUUGGAAAAAUUUCACAAUCUUAUAUUGAGGUGCAGAACCGAUUUUUUAGUACAUAUACUUUAAGUACUCGAUUGUAAAUUGCGUAAAAAUAUCAACUAUACAUAUUUAAGCUAAUUAGCCGUUUUGAGAUUAUUGGAGUUGUCAUGUAGCCAUAACGACAGUGAAUUUGGAAAAAUUUCACAAUCUUAUAUUAAGGUGUAGAAUCGAUUUUUUAGUACAUAUGCACUAAGUAACCGAUAAAAAGUUGCGUAAAAAUAUGAACUUCGCAUAUUUAUUCCAAUCAGCCAUAACGACAGUGAAUUUGGAAAAAUUUCACAAUCUUAUAUUGAGAUGCAGAACCGAUUUUUUAGUACAUAUACAUUAAGCACUCGAUUGCAAGUAGCGUAAAAAUAUGAACUAUACAUAUUUGUGCUAAUUAGCCGUUUUGAUGUUAUUGGAGUUUUCAUAUAGUCAUAACGACAGUGAAUUUGGAAAAAUUUCACAAUCUUAUAAUAAGGCGUAGAAUCGAUUUUUUAGUACAUAUGCACUAAGCAAUCGAUACCAAGUUGCGUAAAAAUAUGAACUAUACAUAUUUAUGCUAAUUAGCCGUUUUGAUGUUAUUGGAGUUUUCAUAUAGCCAUAACGACAGUGAAUUUGGAAAAAUUUCACAAUCUUAUCGUAGAAUAGAUUUUUUGGUACAUAUGCACUAAGCAAUCGAUACCAAGUUGCGUAAAAAUAUGAACUAUACAUAUUUAUGCUAAUUAACCGUCUUGAGUUUAUUUGAGUUAUCAUAUAGCCAUAACGACAGUGCAUUUGAAAAAAUUUCACAAUCUUAUCGUAGAAUCGAUUUUUUAGUACAUAUGCACUAAGCAAUCGAUACCAAGUUGCGUAAAAAUAUGAACUAUACAUAUUUAUGCUAAUUAGCCGUUUUGAGGUUAUUGGAGUUGUCAUAUAGCCAUAACGACAGUGAAUUUGGAAAAAUUUCACAAUCUUAUAUUGAGAUGCAGAACCGAUUUUUUAGUACAUAUACAUUAAUCACUCGAUACCAAGUUGCGUAACAAUAUGAACUAUACAUAUUUAUGCUAAUUAGCCGUUUUGAGGUUAUUUGAAUUGUCAUAUAGCCAUAACGACGGUGUAUUUGGAAAAAUUUCACAAUCUUAUCGUAGAAUAGAUUUUUUGGUACAUAUGCACUAAGCAAUCGAUACCAAGUUGCGUAAAAAUAUGAACUAUACAUAUUUAUGCUAAUUAGCCGUUUUGAUGUUAUUGGAGUUUUCAUAUAGCCAUAACGACAGUGAAUUUGGAAAAAUUUCACAAUCUUAUAAUAGGGCGUAGAAUCGAUUUUUUAGUACAUAUGCACUAAGCAAUCGAUACCAAGUUGCGUAAAAAUAUGAACUAUACAUAUUUAUGCUAAUUAACCGUCUUGAGUUUAUUUGAGUUAUCAUAUAGCCAUAACGACAGUGCAUUUGAAAAAAUUUCACAAUCUUAUCGUAGAAUCGAUUUUUUAGUACAUAUGCACUAAGCAAUCGAUACCAAGUUGCGUAAAAAUAUGAACUAUACAUAUUUAUGCUAAUUAGCCGUUUUGAGGUUAUUGGAGUUGUCAUAUAGCCAUAACGACAGUGAAUUUGGAAAAAUUUCACAAUCUUAUAUUGAGGUGCAGAACCGAUUUUUUAGUACAUAUACUUUAAGCACUCGAUUGUAAAUUGCGUAAAAAUAUCAACUAUACAUAUUUAAGCUAAUUAGCCGUUUUGAGAUUAUUGGAGUUGUCAUGUAGCCAUAACGACAGUGAAUUUGGAAAAAUUUCACAAUCUUAUAUUAAGGUGUAGAAUCGAUUUUUUAGUACAUAUGCACUAAGUAACCGAUAAAAAGUUGCGUAAAAAUAUGAACUUCGCAUAUUUAUUCCAAUCAGCCAUAACGACAGUGAAUUUGGAAAAAUUUCACAAUCUUAUAUUGAGAUGCAGAACCGAUUUUUUAGUACAUAUACAUUAAGCACUCGAUUGCAAGUAGCGUAAAAAUAUGAACUAUACAUAUUUAUGCUAAUUAGCCGUUUUGAGGUUAUUGGAGUUGUCAUAUAGCCAUAACGACAGUGAAUUUGGAAAAAUUUCACAAUCGUAUAUUAAGGUGUAGAAUCGAUUUUUUAAUACAUAUACAUUAAUCACUCGAUACCAAGUUGCGUAACAAUAUGAACUAUACAUAUUUAUGCUAAUUAGCCGUUUUGAGGUUAUUUGAAUUGUCAUAUAGCCAUAACGACGGUGUAUUUGGAAAAAUUUCACAAUCUUAUCGUAGAAUAGAUUUUUUGGUACAUAUGCACUAAGCAAUCGAUACCAAGUUGCGUAAAAAUAUGAACUAUACAUAUUUAUGCUAAUUAGCCGUUUUGGAGUUAUUGGAGUUGUCAUAUAACCAUAACGACAGUGAAUUUGGAAAAAUUACACAAUCUUAUAUUAAGGUGUAGAAUCGAUUUUUUAGUACAUAUGCACUAAGUAACCGAUAAAAAGUUGCGUAAAAAUAUGAACUUCGCAUAUUUAUUCCAAUCAGCCAUAACGACAGUGAAUUUGGAAAAAUUUCACAAUCUUAUAUUGAAGUGCAGAACCGAUUUUUUAAUACAUAUACAUUAAGCACUCGAUACCAAGUUGCGUAAAAAUAUGAACUAUACAUAUUUAUGCUAAUUAGCCGUUUUGAGGUUAUUUGAAUUGUCAUAUAGCCAUAACGACGGUGUAUUUGGAAAAAUUUCACAAUCUUAUAUUAAGGUGUAGAAUCGAUUUUUUAGUACAUAUGCACUAUUUCAUCUUAUUUGAGUAGUCAUAUAGCCAUAACGACAGUGAAUUUGGAAAAAUUUCACAAUCUUAUAUUAAGGUGUAGAAUCGAUUUUUUAGUACAUAUGCACUAAGUAACCGAUAAAAAGUUGCGUAAAAAUAUGAACAUCGCAUAUUUAUUCCAAUCAGCCAUAACGACAGUGAAUUUGGAAAAAUUUCACAAUCUUAUAUUGAGGUGCAGAACCGAUUUUUUAAUACAUAUACAUUAAGCACUCGAUACCAAGUUGCGUAAAAAUAUGAACUAUACAUAUUUAUGCUAAUUAGCCGUUUUGAUGUUAUUGGAGUUUUCAUAUAGCCAUAACGACAGUGAAUUUGGAAAAAUUUCACAAUCUUAUAUUAAGCCGUAGAAUCGAUUUUUUAGUACAUAUGCACUAAGAAAUCGAUACCAAGUUGCGUAAAAAUAUGAACUAUACAUAGUUAUGCUAAUCAGCUGUAUUGACGUUAUUGGAGUUGUCAUAUAGCCAUAACGACAGUGAAUUUGGAAAAAUUUCACAAUCUUAUAUUAAGGUGUAGAAUCGAUUUUUUAGUACAUUUGCACUAUUUCGUCUUAUUUGAGUAGACAUAUGGCGUAACGACAGUGCAUUUGGAAAAAUUUCACAAUCUUAUAAUAAGGCGUAGAAUCGAUUUUUUAGUACAUAUGCACUAAGCAAUCGAUACCAAGUUACGUAAAAAUGUGACCUAUACAUAUUUAUGUUAAUUAGCCGUUUUGAGGUUAUUGGAGUUGUCAUACAGCCAUAACGACAGUGUAUUUGGAUAAAUUUCCCAAUCUUAUAUUAAAGCGUAGAAUCGAUUUUUUAGUACAUUUGCACUAUUUCGUCUUAUUUGAGUAGACAUAUGGCGUAACGACAGUGCAUUUGGAAAAAUUUCACAAUCUUAUAAUAAGGCGUAGAAUCGAUUUUUUACUACAUAUGCACUAAGCAAUCGAUACCAAGUUACGUAAAAAUGUGACCUAUACAUAUUUAUGUUAAUUAGCCGUUUUGAGGUUAUUGGAGUUGUCAUACAGCCAUAACGACAGUGUAUUUGGAAAAAUUUCCCAAUCUUAUAUUAAAGCGUAGAAUCGAUUUUUUAGCACAUAUGCACUAAGCAAUCAAUACCAAGUUGCGUAAAAAUAUGAACUAUACAUAGUUAUGCUAAUCAGCUGUAUUGAAGUUAUUGGAGUUGUCAUAUAGCGUAACGACAGUACAUUUGGAAAAAUUUCCCAAUCUUAUAUUAAGGUGUAGUAUCGAUUUUUUAGUACGUAUGCACUAAGCAAUCGAUACCAAGUUGCGUAAAAAUAUGAACUAUACAUAUUUAUGCUAAUUAACCGUUUUGAGGUUAUUGGAGUUGUCACAUAGCCAUAAAGACAGUGAAUUUGCAAAAAUGUCACAAUCUUAUGUUACAUAUUUGUGCUAAUUAUCCGUUUUGAAGUUAUUGGAGUUGUCAUAUAGCCAUAACGACAGUGUACAUAUUUGAAAAAUUCCACAAUCUUAUAUUAAGGCGUAGCAUCGAUUUGUUAGUACAUAUGCACUAAGCAAUCGAUACCAAGUUGCGUAAAAAUAUGAACUAUGAAUAUUUAUGCUAGUUAGCCGUUUUGAAGUUAUUGGAGUUGUCACAUAGCCAUAAAGACAGUGAAUUUGCAAAAAUGUCACAAUAUUAUGUUACAUAUUUGUGCUAAUUAGCCGUUUUGAAGUUAUUGGAGUUGUCAUAUAGCCAUAACGACAGUGUACAUAUUUGGAAAAAUUUCACAAUCUUAUAUUAAGGUGUAGAAUCGAUUUGUUAGUACAUAUGCACUAAGCAAUCGAUACCAAGUUGCGUAAAAAUAUGAACUAUACAUAUUUGUGCUAAUUAGCCGUUUUGAAGUUAUUGGAGUUGUCAUAUAGCCAUAACGACAGUGAAUUUGGAAAAAUUUCACAAUCUUAUAAUAAGGCGUAGAAUCGAUUUUUUAGUACAUAUGCACUAAGCAAUCGAUACCAAGUUGCGUAAAAAUAUGAACUAUGAAUAUUUAUGCUAGUUAGCCGUUUUGAAGUUAUUUGAGUUAUCAUAUAGCCAUAACGACAGUGCAUUUGGAAAAAUUUCACAAUCAUAUAUUAAGGUGUAGAAUCGAUUUGUUAGUACAUAUGCACUAAGCAAUCGAUACCAAGUUGCGUAAAAAUAUGAACUAUGAAUAUUUAUGCUAGUUAGCCGUUUUGAGUUUAUUUGAGUUAUCAUAUAGCCGUAACGACAGUGCAUUUGGAAAAAUUUCACAUUCUUAUCGUAGAAUCGAUUUUUUAGCACAUAUGCACUAAGCAAUCAAUACCAAGUUGCGUAAAAAUAUGAACUAUACAUAGUUAUGCUAAUCAGCUGUAUUGAAGUUAUUGGAGUUGUCAUAUAGCGUAACGACAGUACAUUUGGAAAAAUUUCCCAAUCAUAUAUUAAGGUGUAGAAUCGAUUUGUUAGCACAUAUGCACUAAGCAAUCGAUACCAAGUUGCGUAAAAAUAUGAACUAUGAAUAUUUAUGCUAGUUAGCCGUUUUGAGUUUAUUUGAGUUAUCAUAUAGCCGUAACGACAGUGCAUUUGGAAAAAUUUCACAUUCUUAUCGUAGAAUCGAUUUUUUAGCACAUAUGCACUAAGCAAUCAAUACCAAGUUGCGUAAAAAUAUGAACUAUACAUAUUUAUGCUAAUUAACCGUUUUGAGGUUAUUGGAGUUGUCAGAUAGCCAUAAAGACAGUGAAUUUGCAAAAAUGUCACAAUCUUAUGUUACAUAUUUGUGCUAAUUAGCCGUUUUGAAGUUAUUGGAGUUGUCAUAUAGCCAUAACGACAGUGUACAUAUUUGGAAAAAUUCCACAAUCUUAUAUUAAGGUGUAGAAUCGAUUUUUUUUAGUACAUAUGCACUAUUUCAUCUUGUUGGAGUUGUCAUAUAGCGUAACGGCAGUGCAUUUGGAAAAAUUGCACAAUCUUAUAUUAAGGCGUAGAAUCGAUUUUUUAGUACAUAUGCACUAAGCAAUCGAUACCAAGUUGCGUAAAAAUAUGAACUAUACAUAUUUAUGCUAAUUAACCGUUUUGAAAUUAUUGGAGUUGUCACAUAGCCAUAACGACAGUGUAUGUGGAAAAAUUUCACAAUCUUAUAUUAAGGUGUAGAAUCGAUUUUUUUUAGUACAUAUGCACUAUUUCAUCUUGUUGGAGUUGUCAUAUAGCGUAACGGCAGUGCAUUUGGAAAAAUUGCACAAUCUUAUAUUAAGGCGUAGAAUCGAUUUUUUAGUACAUAUGCACUAAGCAAUCGAUACCAAGUUGCGUAAAAAUAUGAACUAUACAUAUUUAUGCUAAUUAACCGUUUUGAGGUUAUUGGAGUUGUCACAUAGCCAUAAAGACAGUGAAUUUGCAAAAAUGUCACAAUCUUAUGUUACAUAUUUGUGCUAAUUAGCCGUUUUGAGUUUAUUUGAGUUAUCAUAUAGCCAUAACGACAGUGUACAAAUUUGGAAAAAUUCCACAAUCUUAUAUUAAGGCGUAGCAUCGAUUUGUUAGUACAUAUGCACUAAGCAAUCGAUACCAAGUUGCGUAAAAAUAUGAACUAUGAAUAUUUAUGCUAGUUAGCCGUUUUGAAGUUAUUUGAGUUAUCAUAUAGCCAUAACGACAGUGCAUUUGGAAAAAUUUCACAAUCAUAUAUUAAGGUGUAGAAUCGAUUUGUUAGUACAUAUGCACUAAGCAAUCGAUACCAAGUUGCGUAAAAAUAUGAACUAUGAAUAUUUAUGCUAGUUAGCCGUUUUGAGUUUAUUUGAGUUAUCAUAUAGCCGUAACGACAGUGCAUUUGGAAAAAUUUCACAUUCUUAUCGUAGAAUCGAUUUUUUAGCACAUAUGCACUAAGCAAUCAAUACCAAGUUGCGUAAAAAUAUGAACUAUACAUAGUUAUGCUAAUCAGCUGUAUUGAAGUUAUUGGAGUUGUCAUAUAGCGUAACGACAGUACAUUUGGAAAAAUUUCCCAAUCUUAUAUUAAGGUGUAGAAUCGAUUUUUUAGUACAUAUGCACUAAGCAAUCGAUACCAAGUUGCGUAAAAAAAGGAACUA